Non-coding RNA from Danio rerio (zebrafish), 457 nucleotides. The record is from RefSeq and is a predicted model, not a curated record. NCBI's taxonomy places the organism in Eukaryota, Metazoa, Chordata, Actinopteri, Cypriniformes, Danionidae.
UCAAGAGAUACAUUUUACUUAUUUUUUAAAGGAAACCAGUUCAAUUAUCAGCCUUAAUUUGAGAAACAAAUUAAGCUGAUAAAAUUGAGGAAAGAUGGCUUCAUGUUUAUUUUAAGAAAAUUGACUCAAUUAUGUGGAUUUGAUUGAGAUGUUUGCAGUUGAAUCUCAACAACGGCAGUGACCUGAUGACACUUUGAAGAAGCACAUCAACAGUGAGCAUGUUAAGAGAUUAAUGAAAAAAAUGUUUACUGUAUUUUCCUACAAAAGAGGAGCAGUUUAUGGGUGCUAUACAGCAGAGGAAGAGCUCAUUCAGGAGUGCAAAUGUGGGAAUGCACAGAGAAUUGCUGUCUGCAAGAGGGAUGACCAACCAUGAGGACUUCUGCAUUGUAUUGGAUGAUGAGUGAGUCAUGGCUGGCUUGGAAAAUCUAGAAUUGCUGAACUGGAUUUAUACAAGUAU